CCUACGGGUGGCAGCAGUGGGGAAUAUUGGACAAUGGGGGGAACCCUGAUCCAGCCAUGCCGCGUGUGUGAAGAAGGCCCUCGGGGUGUAAAGCACUUUCAGUGAGGAAGAACGCCUGGUGGUUAAUACCCAUCAGGAAAGACAUCACUCACAGAAGAAGCACCGGCUAACUCCGUGCCAGCAGCCGCGGUAAUACGGAGGGUGCGAGCGUUAAUCGGAAUUACUGGGCGUAAAGCGCGCGUAGGUGGCUUGAUAAGCCGGUUGUGAAAGCCCCGGGCUCAACCUGGGAACGGCAUCCGGAACUGUCAAGCUAGAGUGCAGGAGAGGAAGGUAGAAUUCCCGGUGUAGCGGUGAAAUGCGUAGAGAUCGGGAGGAAUACCAGUGGCGAAGGCGGCCUUCUGGACUGACACUGACACUGAGGUGCGAAAGCGUGGGUAGCAAACAGGAUUAGAUACCCUGGUAGUC
RNAcentral lists this ribosomal RNA (465 nucleotides) under Vreelandella stevensii. RNAcentral's name for it is "partial 16S ribosomal RNA". It matches the Rfam family "Bacterial small subunit ribosomal RNA", at positions 338 to 795 of the family's 1533-position model. The record is from RNAcentral. Lineage: Bacteria; Pseudomonadati; Pseudomonadota; Gammaproteobacteria; Oceanospirillales; Halomonadaceae.